Long non-coding RNA from Talpa occidentalis (Iberian mole), 998 nucleotides. RefSeq lists it as uncharacterized. The transcript has 3 exons. NCBI's taxonomy places the organism in Eukaryota, Metazoa, Chordata, Mammalia, Eulipotyphla, Talpidae. The record is from RefSeq and is a predicted model, not a curated record.
UUUACCAACAGUGCACACUUCAUUCUCUCCAUGCAGGCAGACGAGGGUAAUGAAACGAAUGAUUCCUUGGAGCCUUUAAAUUCCCUGUCACUUCUUUGCAAAAAUAGAGCAAGCAUCUCAAGUGCAAAAACCCAGAAGCAGCAAAUAUCUUUGCAUCCUGAAAGGAGAGGACGACCUAUUGGCUUUUGAAGAGUAACUGGAGUACAGCGCUCAAGGAAUAAAACCAUCACCGCUGAACCAGAAUACAAAUAAACUCCAUCUAGACCCGCACACGGAAAAUGAACUCUCUGCCAUGAGAAGUCUUGGUCUUUUCUUAAUAAUCCGCCCUCCCAAAGAGAAGUCUUAGCCAAAAUAAGAAAGUCAAGUCCGUUAUUUCCUAAGGGCCACAGAAGCAAAACAUUCAACCUGAAAACAAGAAUUGUAAAACUGGACAGCGUUGUGAGAAGAGGUUACCCCUGGGUGGUAUCAGAGGUCAGGUUUCCAAGAAAGUUUUUAAAAAGAAAAUAACUAUGAAAGACACCAAAUCAAUUCUCUGGUCUGAGCAAUUUCCUUUUCUUUGGAAAGCUCCUUCCAGAGCAGCUUACUCUAGAACUCCGGAGGCUGUGUCCCUUUGGACUUUAUCCAUAUUUUCACAGUAAAGGUCAAGAGUGUCUCCCCCUUCUACUUUCGGGGCUCCACCUCAUAGAGGAGCUCCCUAAGGAAAUCCACCAGGCCAUCUUCCAAACGAAGUUUUAAAAAAAGAAGAAGAAAUAAAUCACCCCCAUCACCAACCUCACUUGUGGCUGUCUUGAAAAGCAGCCUUUGCUCUGAAAGCAAGGAAAAGCAACAUAAAAAAGACUCACGGUAAAGGAAGCUCCAUCCACAAAGCAAAAUAUGAGGACCUGUUUUGCAGAAAUUCUCCAAGAAUCGCAAAAACACCUCCAUCACUCCAAAUUGGAGCAUGCCACAAGACUUUACAGAAUGAUCAAAGCUAGAUUCUCCAAGAUUUAUGAGACAAG